This 575-nucleotide ribosomal RNA is filed under the name bacterium 81-L049659-122-016-A11. Its description in RNAcentral is "bacterial SSU rRNA". It matches the Rfam family "Bacterial small subunit ribosomal RNA", at positions 56 to 642 of the family's 1533-position model. The record is from RNAcentral.
UGCAAGUCGAACGAUGACGGAGGAGCUUGCUCCUCCUGAUUAGUGGCGAACGGGUGAGUAAUACGUGAGCAAUGUGCCCUUGACUCUGGGAUAAGCGCUGGAAACGGCGUCUAAUACCGGAUACGACGAUCGGAGGCAUCUCCUGGUCGUGGAAAGAACUUCGGUCAAGGAUCAGCUCACGGCCUAUCAGUUAGUUGGUGAGGUAAUGGCUCACCAAGACGACGACGGGUAGCCGGCCUGAGAGGGUGACCGGCCACACUGGGACUGAGACACGGCCCAGACUCCUACGGGAGGCAGCAGUGGGGAAUAUUGCACAAUGGGCGCAAGCCUGAUGCAGCAACGCCGCGUGAGGGACGAAGGCCUUCGGGUUGUAAACCUCUUUUAGCAGGGAAGAAGCGAAAGUGACGGUACCUGCAGAAAAAGCACCGGCUAACUACGUGCCAGCAGCCGCGGUAAUACGUAGGGUGCAAGCGUUGUCCGGAAUUAUUGGGCGUAAAGAGCUCGUAGGCGGUUUGUCACGUCUGCUGUGAAAACCCGAGGCUCAACCUCGGGCUUGCAGUGGGUACGGGCAGACU